AAAUAUUCCUUUGAAACUCAAGCCCUGACAGGAAGUAAAAAACAAAACAAAACAACAACUUCACCUGCUCAUGUGUCCCAUAAUAUUAGCUUAGGUAUUAUGUCAAAAUAUGUUUGCUUUUUCGGUGGGUUUUUUGUUUGUGUUUGUUUGUGUGUGUGUGUGAGCAAGUAACUCUACGCUCCUGUAGGUGGUGCAGUGCAGUUUUCUUCUCAGCGUAGAAGAAGAAUGUCAUCCUGCUGUAACUGACUGUCCUGCUUGUUCUUUCUUCUGUUUUUUUAUCUCCUCGGGUUUUUAUCUUUGUGCGUCUGCUCCGCAGUUACAAAUACAUCGAUCAAAAGGCUUCCUCGGUUCACUAUUGGGAAAUCCUAAUUUUUUAAAAGAAUAAUAAAUCAUGUUUCGAAGAAGACUGCCUUUCACACAGUUAGCCUUUGCCACAAUGCUUGGAGUUGCCGGUGGAAUUUACAUCUACAGACCUUAUUUCGAGACUGUGCCAAAGACAUCCGGAGAGCAGAUCCAGGACAAGCCAAAGAAAGAGAAUGAACUGGACUGAAGGAGUUCGAGAAGGCAGGAGGCUGCUGGACUGGAGGCCAAACAAAAAGACAAGAUCACCAUGGAUUAAGUCAUACUGAUUCCUGCUGUUUGUGAUUAUAAAUUUACAGAAUAAAUAUUUAAUAAUUUCAUGUUCU
Haplochromis burtoni (Burton's mouthbrooder) is the source of this 686-nucleotide RNA transcript. It is a transcript of the gene named protein PIGBOS1, with no coding region annotated. The transcript is spliced from 2 exons. The record is from RefSeq and is a predicted model, not a curated record. NCBI's taxonomy places the organism in Eukaryota, Metazoa, Chordata, Actinopteri, Cichliformes, Cichlidae.